RNAcentral lists this ribosomal RNA (549 nucleotides) under uncultured bacterium. Its description in RNAcentral is "bacterial SSU rRNA". It matches the Rfam family "Bacterial small subunit ribosomal RNA", at positions 355 to 896 of the family's 1533-position model. The record is from RNAcentral.
UGGGGAAUAUUGCACAAUGGGCGCAAGCCUGAUGCAGCCAUGCCGCGUGUGUGAAGAAGGCCUUCGGGUUGUAAAGCACUUUCAGCGGGGAGGAAGGCGUUAAGGUUAAUAACCUCAUCGAUUGACGUUACCCGCAGAAGAAGCACCGGCUAACUCCGUGCCAGCAGCCGCGGUAAUACGGAAGGUGCAAGCGUUAAUCGGAAUUACUGGGCGUAAAGCGCACGCAGGCGGUCUGUCAAGUCGGAUGUGAAAUCCCCGGGCUCAACCUGGGAACUGCAUUCGAAACUGGCAGGCUAGAGUCUUGUAGAGGGGGGUAGAAUUCCAGGUGUAGCGGUGAAAUGCGUAGAGAUCUGGAGGAAUACCGGUGGCGAAGGCGGCCCCCUGGACAAAGACUGACGCUCAGGUGCGAAAGCGUGGGGAGCAAACAGGAUUAGAUACCCUGGUAGUCCACGCCGUAAACGAUGUCGAUUUGGAGGUUGUGCCCUUGAGGCGUGGCUUCCGGAGCUAACGCGUUAAAUCGACCGCCUGGGGAGUACGGCCGCAAGGUUA